RNAcentral lists this ribosomal RNA (326 nucleotides) under uncultured eukaryote. RNAcentral's name for it is "partial 18S ribosomal RNA". It matches the Rfam family "Eukaryotic small subunit ribosomal RNA", at positions 1470 to 1796 of the family's 1831-position model. The record is from RNAcentral.
CCCUUAGAUGUUCUGGGCUGCACGCGCGCUACACUGAUGCACUCAACGAGUUUACGACCUUGCCCGAUAGGGUUGGGUAAUCUUUUUAAAAUGCAUCGUGAUGGGGAUAGAUUAUUGCAAUUAUUAAUCUUCAACGAGGAAUUCCUAGUAAGCGCGAGUCAUCAGCUCGUGCUGAUUACGUCCCUUCCCUUUGUACACACCGCCCGUCGCUCCUACCGAUUGAGUGCUCAGGUGAAUAAUUCGGACUGCAGCAAUGUUUGGAUCCCGAACGUUGCAGCGGAAAGUUUAGUGAACCUUAUCACUUAGAGGAAGGAGAAGUCGUAACA